CGGCGAGUGAAGCGGGAACAGCCCAAAUUUGAAAUCUGCUUCGGCCGAAUUGUAAUUUGCAGAGGCAGCUUCUGAUGCGAUACGACCCGAGUCUGCUGGAACGCGACGCCUUAGAGGGUGAGAGCCCCGUCUGGUCAGUGUCAAAUCUCUAUGUAGCGCCUUCGAAGAGUCGGGUAGUUUGGGAAUGCUGCCCUAAGCGGGAGGUAAUCAUCUCCUAAGGCUAAAUAUCUGCGGUAGACCGAUAGCGCACAAGUAGAGCGAUCGAAAGAUGAAAAGCACUUUGAAAAGAGAGUUAAAAGCACGUGAAAUUGUUGAGGGGGAAGCGCUAGAAACCAGACUUGCUCCGGGCAGUCAGCCUUCGUUUUCGUUGGUUCGCCUACCCUUUGCAGGCCAGCAUCAGCUGCCUUGGAUCUAUAAAGGCUCUGGUCGCGGCUUCGGCUGUGACCGUUGCAUAAUCGUUCCGUGGCGGCUGAGGAAUGCGUUCGCUUGGAUGCUGGCGUAAUGGUUUUCAGCGGCCCGUCUUGAAACACGGACUUGGGAGUCAAGCAGUGGGGCGAGCCUUUGAGUGUCAAACUCGCAGGCGCAAUAAAAGUGAGCAGAUGGGAGCUUCGGCGCACCGUCGACCGAUCCUGAUGACUCGGAUGGAUUUGAGUAUGAGUCUUACUGCUUGGACCCGAAAGGUGGUGAUCUAUGCCUGAAGAGGCUGAAGUCAGGGGAAACCCUGAUGGAGGGCCGUAGGGGUUCUGACGUGCAAAUCGAUCUUCUCAUUUGGGCAUGGGGGCGAAAGUAAGUUGCUCUCUAGCAGAGACAUUGACGAAUACAUGCUAAC
This 829-nucleotide ribosomal RNA is filed under the name Xenosporidesmium nujiangense. RNAcentral describes it as "Sporidesmium sp. DB-2021b partial large subunit ribosomal RNA". It matches the Rfam family "Eukaryotic large subunit ribosomal RNA", at positions 87 to 935 of the family's 3401-position model. The record is from RNAcentral. Lineage: Eukaryota; Fungi; Ascomycota; Sordariomycetes.